GCACCGGUCCCGGGACGACCUAUCCGGUCGACUGGGUGUUCGUUCGCCGCGGACUGCCGGUAGAGAUCAUCGCGGAGUUCGACGUGUGGCGGAAGAUCCGGGAUUGGCAGGGAACGGUCGGCUGGGUGCACCAGAGCAUGCUGGACGGCAGACGCACGGCGCGCAUCACCGGCGCCGACCGAGAGCUGCGGAGCGAGCCCGCGGAGGAUGCAGCGGUGGUCGUGCGCCUGUCGCAGGGCGUGAUCGGUCGCCUGCUGGAAUGCGAGGCGGCAUGGUGCCAGAUCGACGCCGAUGGGUAUCGCGGCUGGCUCAAGCGCGACGAGUUCUGGGGCACUUAUCCGGACGAGAAGGUCAAGUAGGCAGGCAAGUCGGCCGGGGCCGCGCUAGUCGAAGUCGUCGGCGAGCGCGGCGCGGACCGUUUCCGGCAUGGCGACCAUAUGACCAUAGGCUGCGUGUGUGAAGCCGACGAUGACCUGGGCGCCGGGCGCGCGGAACUUCGAUAUCUGAGUCGGCGUGAACGGGAAAUGGAUGAACUGCACGGCGGAAGCCUUGCCGUCGGCGCUCGUGCGGUCGAUGUCGGCCUCCGAUACGCCCUUGAUCGUCUCCUCGCCGACGCGAAUGAAGGCCGUGUCCUCGAUGCCGCCGAGGCGGGAGAGCAGUGUCUUGCGCCGGGCGGGAUCGUCGAUUUCGAAGAGGACGGUGGCGACCAAUUCGCGGCCGUUGGGGAUGAGCGGGUUGUAGGCGCUGAGUUCGUCAGCGAUCUGCGCGUCGCCGCCUUUUUCGAUGUACAGCAUCUCCUGCACCUGCAGUCACAUGCUGUCGUAGUCUUCGAAAUGGAAGGUCGCGACAGGCCCGACCUCAAGCCGCCGGUUCUGCUUGCGGGCAACCACGGCAUGCCGACGCGCGGCGCGUACCUUGGCGUACUCGGCAGACGGCAUGAGAUCUUCUCGUGUGAUUUCUCGUUUCAUGGCCAUUGCGUGCUCCACAGUCCUACAGGCCAUAGGCGCGCGCGAACAGUUCGAUCGGAUGGAGCGCCGAUCCAGCCGCUUGCAUGCCGUGGUCCAGGCGCUCCACGCCCUGGACGAUGUGCAUCCCGGCCAGCGGGCAUUAGGACGCCAGGUAGGUCUUGCCGCUGUCGUUGGCCUGGCGCGCGACCGGCCGGCCGACUUUGAGAGCGGUUU
Molecule: unclassified non-coding RNA, 1181 nt
Filed under: uncultured fungus
Lineage: Eukaryota; Fungi
Description: sequence contains 18S rRNA gene, ITS1, 5.8S rRNA gene, ITS2, 28S rRNA gene
Source: RNAcentral